GCAGUCGUGGCCUACUGGUUAGCGCUUCGGACUUGUAACCGGAGGGUUGCCGGUUCAAACCCAGACCAGUAGGA
This 74-nucleotide transfer RNA is filed under the name Alosa alosa (allis shad). RNAcentral's name for it is "tRNA-OTHER". Lineage: Eukaryota; Metazoa; Chordata; Actinopteri; Clupeiformes; Clupeidae. The record is from RNAcentral.